This is a long non-coding RNA of Dama dama (fallow deer), 405 nucleotides long. RefSeq lists it as uncharacterized. The record is from RefSeq and is a predicted model, not a curated record. NCBI's taxonomy places the organism in Eukaryota, Metazoa, Chordata, Mammalia, Artiodactyla, Cervidae. The transcript is spliced from 3 exons.
CACCGCCCCCGGGCGGGCGGGCGGCCAGGCUGGCCUAGGCCAAAGCUCCUCACCUGGCGGUGGCGGUGUAACUCCCGGCUAGCUCGCCUCCUCAGGCGGCGGCGGCGGCGUCGAAAAAGGAAGAGGCGACGGCACACUCCUUUAGGACACUGCUUCAGACAGGAUGGGAAAGCAUCCUCUGGCCUGAAGGUCGAAGAAUUCAGAAGUAGUACUGCUGUCUUCAUCCACUGAUUUCCACCCCCAGGAAUUUGCACUAGAGGCUCAUCCAAGUGUAGUUUAUCCGUUGUCAGCACACUGAAUGUCAGCCACUAGACCAGCCCCAGCUCUCCGUGCCUGUCCCCUGCCCAUGUCGUCAGUCCCUACCCACCUGUCUGCGAGCUGCCUGCCUCUUGGGCUGCCGUCUCC